GAUGAACGCUGGCGGCGUGCCUAACACAUGCAAGUCGAGCGAAAAGACGAGGAGCUUGCUCCUCUGACGUUAGCGGCGGACGGGUGAGUAACACGUGGAUAACCUACCUAUAAGACUGGGAUAACUUCGGGAAACCGGAGCUAAUAACGGAUAAUAUAUUCAACCGCAUGGUUCAAUAGUGAAAGACGGUUUUGCUGUCACUUAUAGAUGGAUCCGCGCCGCAUUAGCUAGUUGGUAAGGUAACGGCUUACCAAGGCGACGAUGCGUAGCCGACCUGAGAGGAUGAUCGGCCACACUGGAACUGAGACACGGUCCAGACUCCUACGGGAGGCAGCAGUAGGGAAUCUUCCGCAAUGGGCGAAAGCCUGACGGAGCAACGCCGCGUGAGUGAUGAAGGUCUUCGGAUCGUAAAGCUCUGUUAUUAGGGAAGAACAAAUGUGUAAGUAACUAUUCACGUCUUGACGUUACCUAAUCAGAAAGCCACGGCUAACUACGUG
This 497-nucleotide ribosomal RNA is filed under the name uncultured bacterium. RNAcentral describes it as "partial 16S ribosomal RNA". It matches the Rfam family "Bacterial small subunit ribosomal RNA", at positions 28 to 507 of the family's 1533-position model. The record is from RNAcentral.